RNAcentral lists this ribosomal RNA (333 nucleotides) under Triticum aestivum (bread wheat). Its description in RNAcentral is "partial small subunit ribosomal RNA". Lineage: Eukaryota; Viridiplantae; Streptophyta; Magnoliopsida; Poales; Poaceae. The record is from RNAcentral.
CCGCUUCUUGGGAGUCACUACCUGCUUGGCUAUGUCGACGGCUCUCUCCCUUGCCCUCCUGCGUUGGUUGACAGCGUGCAUGGUCCGGUCUAUAAUCCGGCUCACCGUGUCUGGACAGGGCAGGAUCAGGCGAACCUCUCCUCCAUCCAGGGGUCACUCUCUCCGGCCGUUGCUGGGCUUGUUGUCUUCGCCAAGACGUCCCACGAGGCAUGGACUAUUCUUGAGCGCUCGUUCGCGGCACAGUCGCAGGCUCGUGUAUCUGGGCUCCGUCGCCAACUUGGGGAGUGUCAGAAGCUUGACUCCACCGCCACUGAGUUCUACAACAAAGUCAAG